CAGCAGCCGCGGGAAUACGAAGGGGGCUAGCGUUGCUCGGAAUGACUGGGCGUAAAGGGCGCGUAGGCGGUUUGAACAGUCAGAUGUGAAAUUCCUGGGCUCAACCUGGGGGCUGCAUUUGAUACGUUUAGACUAGAGUGGGGAAGAGGGUCGUGGAAUUCCCAGUGUAGAGGUGAAAUUCGUAGAUAUUGGGAAGAACACCGGUGGCGAAGGCGGCGACCUGGUCCUUGACUGACGCUGAGGCGCGAAAGCGUAGGGAGCAAACAGGAUUAGAUACCCCCGUAGUCCCUGUCUCUUAUAC
Molecule: ribosomal RNA, 301 nt
Filed under: uncultured bacterium
Lineage: Bacteria
Description: partial 16S ribosomal RNA
Rfam family: Bacterial small subunit ribosomal RNA
Source: RNAcentral